RNAcentral lists this ribosomal RNA (504 nucleotides) under uncultured bacterium. Its description in RNAcentral is "partial 16S ribosomal RNA". It matches the Rfam family "Bacterial small subunit ribosomal RNA", at positions 30 to 523 of the family's 1533-position model. The record is from RNAcentral.
AUUGAACGCUGGCGGCAUGCCUUACACAUGCAAGUCGAACGGCAGCAUGGAGAGCUUGCUCUCUGGUGGCGAGUGGCGAGCGGGUGAGUAAUGCAUCAGAACGUACCGUGUAAUGGGGGAUAACGUAGCGAAAGUUACGCUAAUACCGCAUACGACCUGAGGGUGAAAGCAGGGGAUCGCAAGACCUUGCGUUAUACGAGCGGCCGAUGUCAGAUUAGCUAGUUGGUGAGGUAAAGGCUCACCAAGGCGACGAUCUGUAGCGGGUCUGAGAGGAUGAUCCGCCACACUGGGACUGAGACACGGCCCAGACUCCUACGGGAGGCAGCAGUGGGGAAUUUUGGACAAUGGGGGCAACCCUGAUCCAGCCAUGCCGCGUGAGUGAAGAAGGCCUUCGGGUUGUAAAGCUCUUUCGGCCGGGAAGAAAUCGCACAGGCUAAUACUCUGUGUGGAUGACGGUACCGGCAUAAGAAGCACCGGCUAACUACGUGCCAGCAGCCGCUGUAA